CCUUGAUUAAAAUAAAACUUAUCAAAUGCCAUUUCAUUUGCUUUGAUGUGAAAGUGGCGCUGGUUUGAAAACACCCAACAUUCUUUUAAGCACACCACAUUUUAGCCCUUGAUACCUUUGUGAUCAGACAGAACUUUAUCACAUCCCUCCUUCACAGGGAGCAGCUGAAAUUCCUCCACGUCAUUCCUGCCCAAUUCAACAUCCAAAAACAAGGGAGGGGGAGACACUGAGUGUUGUGGGGUGACUCAGUCCCAAAAUCCCAAAGGAGGAGCGAAGGGAUGCCCUGCAGCCUGCAGACUCAGCACCUGAGCAGCCAAACAAAUGCUCAAAGCCUCCCUUAGGGGUGCUCUGAUUUUCUGCCUUGUACUGAGACACUCUGGAUUUUUAGUUAGAAAAUCUCCAGUCAGAAAAUCUAGAUCUGGAGGAUCUAGACCAGGCUGCAGCCCAAUGCACUGAACCCACUCCUUGAUGUAUUUCUGACAUUAAUAUUUGCUUUGCAGGAAAGAAUUCACUUGUGACCUCAGCACUCACAGCAGGGCCCCACUGAUCCUCAAACACAGCCAGGUCUCUCAGCUCCACUGACCAAAGAACAAGGUGCACCCUCUUUGUCUGGAAGCACAGCCCGUUGAAUGUGGGAUUUCAGCUUUGUUCCAGGGCUGUGUUUGCAGCUGCCCCAUUUGGAAGGGAGGCAGGAGAAAGGCUUUGGUUGCCAAGGGCAAACGUGCAGCUCUUGGCUCCUACACUGGGAAAAUUCACAGAAUUCUCAGGGCUGGAAGAGACCUCCAAGAUCAUCGAGUCCAACCCAGCCCUGACACC
Molecule: long non-coding RNA, 816 nt
Organism: Catharus ustulatus (Swainson's thrush)
Lineage: Eukaryota; Metazoa; Chordata; Aves; Passeriformes; Turdidae
Exons: 3
Source: RefSeq, a predicted model, not a curated record